ACACACCCAUCAUCCAGCACUCACACACACAUCAUCCAGCACUCACACACCCAUCAUCCAGCACUCACACACCCAUCAUCCAGCACACACACACCCAUCAUCCAGCACUCACACACCCAUCAUCCAGCACACACACACCCAUCAUCCAGCACUCACACACCCAUCAUCCAGCACACACACACCCAUCAUCCAGCACACACACAUCCAUCAUCCAUCACUCACAUACCCAUCAUUCAUCACUCACAUACCCAUCAUCCAGCACACACACACAC
Pelobates cultripes (western spadefoot toad) is the source of this 272-nucleotide non-coding RNA. Lineage: Eukaryota; Metazoa; Chordata; Amphibia; Anura; Pelobatidae. The record is from the annotation of a GenBank genome assembly.